AGCGAACGCUGGCGGCAGGCCUAACACAUGCAAGUCGAACGAACCUUUCGGGGUUAGUGGCGGACGGGUGAGUAACACGUGGGAACGUGCCCUUAGGUUCGGAAUAACUCAGGGAAACUUGUGCUAAUACCGAAUGUGCUCUUCGGGGGUAAGAUUAACCGCGUCUGGAGCGGCCGUCGUCUGGUUCGCUAGUUGGUUGUGGAAAUGGCUCAUCACGGCGUGGAUCAGUAGCUGGUCUGGGCGGAUGAUUAGCCACAUUGGGACUGAGACACGGCCCAAACUCCUACGGGGGGCAGCGGUAGAGAAUCUUGCGCGAUGGACGAAAGCCUGACACAGCCGUGCCGCGUAAAUGAUGAAGGUCUUAGGAUUGUAAAAUUCUUUGACAGGGGACGAUAAUGACGGUACCCGGAGAAGAAGCCCCGGCUAACUACGUG
RNAcentral lists this ribosomal RNA (434 nucleotides) under uncultured bacterium. Its description in RNAcentral is "partial 16S ribosomal RNA". It matches the Rfam family "Bacterial small subunit ribosomal RNA", at positions 29 to 507 of the family's 1533-position model. The record is from RNAcentral.